GACCGCGUAGCUCAGUUGGCAGAGCAUUGGGCUAGUAUUCCAAAGGUCGUGGGUUCGAUUCCCACCGUGGCCA
This 73-nucleotide transfer RNA is filed under the name Paramuricea clavata. It matches the Rfam family "tRNA". Rfam says of the family: Transfer RNA (tRNA) molecules are approximately 80 nucleotides in length. Lineage: Eukaryota; Metazoa; Cnidaria; Anthozoa; Malacalcyonacea; Plexauridae. The record is from Rfam by way of RNAcentral.